GGACCUAAGGCGAGGCCGAAAGGCGUAGUCGAUGGAUAACAGGUCAACAUUCCUGUACCGGUUAUGUUUUGGGAAGAGGGACGGAGAAGGCUAGCCAAGCCAGAUGUUGGUUACUGGUUCAAGCGUUCGAGGCGUUGAGGAUCGGCGAAAACGAUCCGAGCUGAGGCGUGAGUACGAGCUGCUACGGCAGCGAAGUUGGUGAUGUCAUGCUUCCAAGAAAAGCUCUAUACCCGUUAAGGCAUAACUGCCAGUACCCGAAACCGACACAGGUGGGGUGGUAGAGAAUACCGAGGUGCGCGAGGUAACUCUCUCUAAGGAACUCGGCAAAAUGGCCCCGUAACUUCGGGAGAAGGGGUGCCACAGCAAUGUGGUCGCAGUGAAGAGGCCCUGGCGACUGUUUACCAAAAACACAGGUCUCCGCUAAGUCGCAAGACGAUGUAUGGGGGCUGACGCCUGCCCAGUGCCGGAAGGUUAAGGAAGCCGGUCAGCGUAAGCGAAGCUGGCGACUGAAGCCCCGGUGAACGGCGGCCGUAACAAUAACGGUCCUAAGGUAGCGAAAUUCCUUGUCGGGUAAG
Molecule: ribosomal RNA, 575 nt
Filed under: Ochromonas sp. CCMP1393
Lineage: Eukaryota; Chrysophyceae; Chromulinales; Chromulinaceae
Description: partial Bacterial large subunit ribosomal RNA
Rfam family: Bacterial large subunit ribosomal RNA
Source: RNAcentral